AAGGGAUCCAAAAAGUGGGAAAACUUGAAGUAACUGAGCGUUGGCAAUAACAGAAACACUCCUAGGGUUCCAGAGAAGAGAGGUCAGGAUCUCACAAAACUGCAAAGUACUCAGCGCGUGUCAAAAUGGACAGAUAGAGGGGGAUGGUAGAAACUAUCCCCGAACCGUGUCCGUUAAUAAAAUCAGUAAUCGAUCUGCUCUGGGGAACGGCCAGUAAAUCUCAAAGCUGCGAACACGAAAACCACCGUAAUCCCAGAUGUCAGCGUGUUGCGGGGAGUCAGACCCAGGGGAGUUUGUAUCGGGAUCCAUCCGAAAGGUGGACCCUGAAAAUGAAGCUGCACCGUGAGAUCUAGAGCUCUUCAGGCUUAACCAUAACCACCAACUGCAACCAGUUAGAAGCUCCUUAAAGGUGUGUCUUCUAGGAGAAGCC
This 430-nucleotide long non-coding RNA is filed under the name Fukomys damarensis (Damara mole-rat). RNAcentral's name for it is "lncRNA (ENSFDAG00000030596.1)". Lineage: Eukaryota; Metazoa; Chordata; Mammalia; Rodentia; Bathyergidae. The record is from RNAcentral.